AGCCCUGCUCGCCCUGAGGUUAUCAAUGACUGGCGCCGAGAAGAUAGAUUUGGUAAUGGGAGGAAACCUGAUGAUAAUAGAGUAUCUGAUGGAGAUCCCAAGUUAGAAGGGAGAUCACCUGAGCGGCCAAAAGAGUCAUCCAGUCCUCCAGUGGUUCGUCCUGUUAGAGAAAUUUUGGGUGAGAAUGUAAUACCCCUUCGUGUAAGUGAACCUCCAAAAGCAAAUAGCGACAGAACUGUCGAUGGCCCUCAGACGCAGGUAGUUUCUACUAUGUGCUAGGAAACACUAUUCUAAUGUUCUGGUCUAAUUCACGAAUCUUUUUUUUUUCUUUUGAUCUGAUCCCGCAAAAAGAUAGGCUUUUCCUCUUACUUAACAUCGAAAUGAUUUAUUUAUGUCUUACCGUUAUGCCUUUCUGAAAUUCUUUCAAAAGCCUUAGUGUUAACAUGAUACCUUUUGCCACAAUUAACCACUUGGCACGGUUCUCAUUCCUUUUGAAUUUGCUUUUUCUCCUUUCUUUUGGUGAUCUAUUCAGAGUAUUUAUCCUACUUUUAAUUGGACCUUAUAAUUCCCAUCUAUACGAUAGUAGUUGAAAACCUUUUAUUAGAACUACUUGGUAGCUUGUGCUGGACAUGAUUCUAUGCCAGCUAUAGUGAUUGAUAUUCCAUGCUGCCAAUGAUGAUAAUUUUCUGAGUUAUAAUGACUUGAUUAUGAUUCCAUGGUACUCUGCUGCUUCAACACUUUUGCGAUGUUUGUUGUAUGAUUAUUUAUACCUUGAAGUUACAUAAAGGAAAUGAACUUACUGAAGGAUUUCUACUAGCAGAGAACCGCGUCUUCUAGCAGCUUAGGACAUUCCAGCGGUAAUCCAGUAGAAGCCAAGUUGGAGACAACUGGUAGCUUAAUUGAUUUUGAUGCUGAUCCUGAACCUCCAGUAGCUCCUAUGGUUACUCAGACACAACAAACUACCGCGACUCAAUCCAUUGUGCAGCCAACUUCUUCUACCAACGAGAACUGGGCCUCUUUC
This 1021-nucleotide long non-coding RNA is filed under the name Gossypium raimondii (Peruvian cotton). Its description in RNAcentral is "long non-coding RNA (GRAI_LNC003322)". Lineage: Eukaryota; Viridiplantae; Streptophyta; Magnoliopsida; Malvales; Malvaceae. The record is from RNAcentral.